Molecule: small nuclear RNA, 106 nt
Organism: Meriones unguiculatus (Mongolian gerbil)
Lineage: Eukaryota; Metazoa; Chordata; Mammalia; Rodentia; Muridae
Source: Ensembl
GUGCUUGCUUUGUCAGCCUAUAUACUAAAAACUGGAACAAUAUGGAGAAGGUUAGCAUGGCCUGUGCAAGGCUAAUAUGAAAAGUCAUGAAGUGUUCCAUAUUUUU